UAGAACGCAAUCGGAAUCAGGCCGAAAGGUCUGCGCCAGCGAUGGCCGGUUGCGAGGUGCUGCAUGGUUGUCGUCAGCUCGUGCCGUGAGGUGUCGGGUUAAGUCCCAUAACGAGCGCAACCCCUACUGCUAGUUGCCAGCGGGUCAUGCCGGGGACUCUAGCGGAACUGCCAGCGUAAGCUGCGAGGAAGGUGGGGAUGACGUCAAAUCAGCACGGCCCUUACGUCCAGGGCUACACACGUGUUACAAUGGCCAGUACGGAGGGCAGCCACCCCGCGAGGGGGCGCUAAUCCUAAAAGCUGGUCCCAGUUCGGAUCGGAGUCUGCAACCCGACUCCGUGAAGCUGGAUUCGCUAGUAAUCGCGCAUCAGCCACGGCGCGGUGAAUACGUUCCCGGGCCUU
RNAcentral lists this ribosomal RNA (401 nucleotides) under uncultured Rikenellaceae bacterium. RNAcentral describes it as "bacterial SSU rRNA". It matches the Rfam family "Bacterial small subunit ribosomal RNA", at positions 981 to 1382 of the family's 1533-position model. Lineage: Bacteria; Pseudomonadati; Bacteroidota; Bacteroidia; Bacteroidales; Rikenellaceae. The record is from RNAcentral.